GACGAACGCUGGCGGCGUGCUUAACACAUGCAAGUCGAGCGGUAAGGCCCUUUCGGGGGUACGACGAGCGGCGAACGGGUGAGUAACACGUGGGUGACCUGCCCUCAGCUCUGGGAUAAGCCUGGGAAACCGGGUCUAAUACUGGAUAUGACUCCAUGACGCAUGUUGUGGGGUGGAAAGCCUUGUGCGGCUGAGGAUGGGCCCGCGGCUUAUCAGCUUGUUGGUGGGGUGAGGCCUACCAAGGCGACGACGGGUAGCCGGCCUGAGAGGGCGACCGGCCACACUGGGACUGAGACACGGCCCAGACUCCUACGGGAGGCAGCAGUGGGGAAUCUUGCGCAAUGGGCGAAAGCCUGACGCAGCGACGCCGCGUGAGGGAUGACGG
RNAcentral lists this ribosomal RNA (385 nucleotides) under uncultured bacterium. RNAcentral's name for it is "bacterial SSU rRNA". It matches the Rfam family "Bacterial small subunit ribosomal RNA", at positions 28 to 414 of the family's 1533-position model. The record is from RNAcentral.